GGUUGUUGCGAUGAGGAUACAAAGCUCCCUCUUCUGAAAGCAUUGAGGACAUAGCUGGCGGAAUCGAACCAAUUACCAUGCCACCACUGAGUAA
Molecule: non-coding RNA, 94 nt
Organism: Brachypodium distachyon (stiff brome)
Lineage: Eukaryota; Viridiplantae; Streptophyta; Magnoliopsida; Poales; Poaceae
Source: Rfam